CCUACGGGUGGCAGCAGUGGGGAAUAUUGGACAAUGGGCGAAAGCCUGAUCCAGCCAUGCCGCGUGUGUGAAGUAGGCCUUCGGGUUGUAAAGCACUUUCAGUGGGGAAGAAAGCCUUGGGGCUAAUACCCUCGAGGAAGGACAUCACCCACAGAAGAAGCACCGGCUAACUCCGUGCCAGCAGCCGCGGUAAUACGGAGGGUGCGAGCGUUAAUCGGAAUUACUGGGCGUAAAGCGCGCGUAGGCGGUCUGAUAAGCCGGUUGUGAAAGCCCCGGGCUCAACCUGGGAACGGCAUCCGGAACUGUCAGGCUAGAGUGCAGGAGAGGAAGGUAGAAUUCCCGGUGUAGCGGUGAAAUGCGUAGAGAUCGGGAGGAAUACCAGUGGCGAAGGCGGCCUUCUGGACUGACACUGACGCUGAGGUGCGAAAGCGUGGGUAGCAAACAGGAUUAGAUACCCGAGUAGUC
This 465-nucleotide ribosomal RNA is filed under the name Vreelandella stevensii. RNAcentral's name for it is "partial 16S ribosomal RNA". It matches the Rfam family "Bacterial small subunit ribosomal RNA", at positions 338 to 795 of the family's 1533-position model. The record is from RNAcentral. Lineage: Bacteria; Pseudomonadati; Pseudomonadota; Gammaproteobacteria; Oceanospirillales; Halomonadaceae.